AACUCACUUCUCACCACGGCCAGGAAAUGAAAGAUCGCUCGACAAACGGCCGCUUUCAGUCAGUUGGAUCUGAUCUUAUACCCGCACACGAGAGCUACCGGAGCAGCAGCAGAUUAACAAGGACCCAAGCUGGACUCCCAAGUUCUUCGGCUCAAGGCGCUAAGGUGCUAAUGUGUUGGAGACGUGCCUGUACUUGUUGAGCGUUUUAUCUGUAGAGUGCUAUAUUGUGAUUGGUGUAAUAUUGUAUGGUUAUAUUGUGAUUGGUGGAAUGUAAUAAACUUGAUUGGUAUAUUGGUGAUUUGGCUGUUAUUUGAAUAUAUUUAAAAUGUGUUCUCUGAUUGGUA
Triticum aestivum (bread wheat) is the source of this 344-nucleotide long non-coding RNA. RefSeq lists it as uncharacterized. Lineage: Eukaryota; Viridiplantae; Streptophyta; Magnoliopsida; Poales; Poaceae. The transcript has 3 exons. The record is from RefSeq and is a predicted model, not a curated record.